GUUUGAUCCUGGCUCAGAACGAACGCUGGCGGCAGGCCUAACACAUGCAAGUCGAACGAACUCUUCGGAGUGAGUGGCGCACGGGUGCGUAACACGUGGGAAUAUACCCUUCAGUGCGGAAUAACGUAGAGAAAUUUACGCUAAUACCGCAUAAUGACUCCGGUCCAAAGAUUUAUCGCUGAAGGAUUAGCCCGCGCCUGAUUAGGUAGUUGGUGAGGUAAGAGCUCACCAAGCCGACGAUCAGUAGCUGGUUUGAGAGGAUGACCAGCCACACUGGAACUGAGACACGGUCCAGACUCCUACGGGAGGCAGCAGUGAGGAAUAUUGCGCAAUGGGGGAAACCCUGACGCAGCCAUGCCGCGUGAGUGACGAAGGCCUUAGGGUUGUAAAGCUCUUUCAGAUGCGAAGAUAAUGACGGUAACAUCAGAAGAAGCUCCGGCUAAAUUCGUGCCAGCAGCCGCGGUAAUACGAAUGGAGCAAGCGUUGUUCGGAAUCACUGGGCGUAAAGCGUACGUAGGCGGACUUUUAAGUCAGAUGUGAAAGCCCAGGGCUCAACCCUGGAACUGCAUUUGAAACUGGAAGUCUAGAGUCCCGGAGAGGUUAGGGGAAUUCCGAGUGUAGCAGUGAAAUGCGCAGAUAUUCGGAGGAACACCAGUGGCGUAGGCGCCUAACUGGACGGGAACUGACGCUGAGGUACGAAAGCGUGGGGAGCAAACAGGAUUAGAUACCCUGGUAGUCCACGCCGUAAACGAUGUAUGCUAGUUGUUGGAAUCCAUAGGGUUUCAGUGACGCAGCUAACGCGAUAAGCAUACCGCCUGGGGAGUACGAUCGCAAGAUUAAAACUCAAAGGAAUUGACGGGGACCCGCACAAGCGGUGGAGCAUGUUGUUUAAUUCGAAGCAACGCGAAGAACCUUACCUACACUUGACAUACUCGUCGGGAUUUCCAGAGAUGGAUUUCUUCGGUUCGGCCGGACGAGAUACAGGUGCUGCAUGGCUGUCGUCAGCUCGUGUCGUGAGAUGUUAGGUUAAGUCCUGCAACGAGCGCAACCCCUGUCCUUAGUUGCCAGCGCGUAAUGGCGGGAACUCUAAGGAGACUGCCGGUGACAAACCGGAGGAAGGCGGGGAUGACGUCAAGUCAUCAUGGCCCUUACGGGUAGGGCUUCAAACGUGCUACAAUGGCUACUACAGUGGGCAGCUAGGUCGCGAGACCAUGCGAAUCUCUAAAAAUAGUCUCAGUUCGGAUUGUUCUCUGCAACUCGAGAGCAUGAAGUUGGAAUCGCUAGUAAUCGUGGAUCAGCAUGCCACGGUGAAUACGUUCCCGGGUCUUGUACACACCGCCCGUCACGUCAUGGGAGUUGGUUCUACCCGAAGGCCGUGCGCUAACCAGUUUACUGGAAGCAGCGGACCACGGUAGGGUUAGCGACUGGGAUGAAGUCGUAACAAGGUAGCC
Molecule: ribosomal RNA, 1451 nt
Filed under: uncultured prokaryote
Description: partial 16S ribosomal RNA
Rfam family: Bacterial small subunit ribosomal RNA
Source: RNAcentral